Triticum aestivum (bread wheat) is the source of this 135-nucleotide non-coding RNA. Lineage: Eukaryota; Viridiplantae; Streptophyta; Magnoliopsida; Poales; Poaceae. The record is from Rfam.
UUCGUACUCCCUCCGUCCGUAAAUACUUGUCAUCAAAAUGGAUAAAAAGAGAUGUAUCUAGAACUAAAAUACAUCUAGAUACAUCCUCUUUUAUCCAUUUUCUUGACAAGUAAUUCCGGACGGAGGGAGUAUGUA